AACUCAUUGAGAAGACAGUAGACAU
RNAcentral lists this non-coding RNA (25 nucleotides) under Cricetulus griseus (Chinese hamster). Lineage: Eukaryota; Metazoa; Chordata; Mammalia; Rodentia; Cricetidae. The record is from RNAcentral.